Molecule: long non-coding RNA, 1219 nt
Organism: Xyrauchen texanus (razorback sucker)
Lineage: Eukaryota; Metazoa; Chordata; Actinopteri; Cypriniformes; Catostomidae
Exons: 3
Source: RefSeq, a predicted model, not a curated record
AAGAAAUUAGAUAUCCAUCUGCUCACAGUUAGACAAACUGUCUAUAAAUGGAGAUGAUUUAGUACUAUAGGUACUCUCACUAGAAGUGGCCGUUAGAUAUUCAUCUGUCCACAGUUAGACAAACGGUCUAUAAAUGGAGGUGAUUUAGUACUAUAGGUACUCUCACUAGAAGUGGCCGUUAGAUAUUCAUCUGUCCACAGUUAGACAAACUGUCUAUAAAUGGAGAUGAUUUAGUACUAUAGGUACUCUCACUAGAAGUGGCCGUUAGAUAUUCAUCUGUCUACAGUUACACAAACUGUCUAUAAAUGGAGGUGAUUUAGUACUAUAGGUACUCUCACUAGAAGUGGCCGUUAGAUAUUCAUCUGUCCACAGUGAGACAAACUGUCUAUAAAUGGAGAUGAUUUAGUACUAUAGGUACUCUCACUAGAAGUGGCCGUUAGAUAUUCAUCUGUCCACAGUUAGACAAACUGUCUAUAAAUGGAGAUGAUUUAGUACUAUAGAUACUCUCACUAGAAGUGGCCGUUAGAUAUUCAUCUGUCCACAGUGAGACAAACUGUCUAUAAAUGGAGAUGAUUUAGUACUAUAGGUACUCUCACUAGAAGUGGCCGUUAGAUAUUCAUCUGUCCACAGUGAGACAAACUGUCUAUAAAUGGAGAUGAUUUAGUACUAUAGGUACUCUCACUAGAAGUGGCCGUUAGAUAUUCAUCUGUCCACAGUUAGAGAAACUGUCUAUAAAUGGAGAUGAUUUAGUACUAUAGGUACUCUCACUAGAAGUGGCCGUUAGAUAUUCAUCUGUCCACAGUUAGACAAACUGUCUAUAAAUGGAGAUGAUUUAGUACUAUAGGUACUCUCACUAGAAGUGGCCGUUAGAUAUUCAUCUGUCCACAGUUAGACAAACUGUCUAUAAAUGGAGAUGAUUUAGUACUAUAGGUACUCUCACUAGAAGUGGCCGUUAGAUAUUCAUCUGUCCACAGUUAGACAAACUGUCUAUAAAUGGAGAUGAUUUAGUACUAUAGGUACUCUCACUAGAAGUGGCCGUUAGAUAUUCAUCUGUCCACAGUUAGAGAAACUGUCUAUAAAUGGAGAUGAUUUAGUACUAUAGGUACUCUCACUAGAAGUGGCCGUUAGAUAUUCAUCUGUCCACAGUUAGAGAAACUGUCUAUAAAUGGAGAUGAUUUAGUACUAUAGGUACUCUCACUAGAAGUGGCUGUUAGAUAUU